CCUACGGGUGGCAGCAGUGGGGAAUAUUGCACAAUGGGGGCAACCCUGAUGCAGCGACGCCGCGUGAGUGAAGAAGUAUUUCGGAAUGUAAAGCUCUAUCAGCAGGGAAGAAAAUAACGGUACCUGAUUAAGAAGCCCCGGCUAACUACGUGCCAGCAGCCGCGGUAAUACGUAGGGGGCAAGCGUUAUCCGGAUUUACUGGGUGUAAAGGGGGCGUGGACGGCAGCACAAGUCUGGAGUGAAAUGCCGGGGCUUAACCCCGGAACUGCUUUGGAAACUGUGCAGCUAGAGUGUAGGAGAGGUAAGUGGAAUUCCUAGUGUAGCGGUGAAAUGCGUAGAUAUUAGGAGGAACACCAGUGGCGAAGGCGGUUUACUGGACUGUAACUGACGCUGAGGCUCGAAAGCGUGGGGAGCAAACAGGAUUAGAUACCCGGGUAGUC
This 440-nucleotide ribosomal RNA is filed under the name uncultured bacterium. Its description in RNAcentral is "partial 16S ribosomal RNA". It matches the Rfam family "Bacterial small subunit ribosomal RNA", at positions 338 to 795 of the family's 1533-position model. The record is from RNAcentral.